UGGGGAAUUUUGGACAAUGGGCGCAAGCCUGAUCCAGCCAUGCCGCGCGCGGGAAGAAGGCCUUCGGGUUGUAAACCGCUUUUGUCAGGGAAGAAAUCUUCUGAGUUAAUACCUCGGGAGGAUGACGGUACCUGAAGAAUAAGCACCGGCUAACUACGUGCCAGCAGCCGCGGUAAUACGUAGGGUGCAAGCGUUAAUCGGAAUACUGGGCGUAAAGCGUGCGCAGGCGGUUUUGUAAGACAGAGGUGAAAUCCCCGGGCUCAACCUGGGAACUGCCUUUGUGACUGCAAGGCUUGAGUGCGGCAGAGGGGGGAUGGAAUUCCGCGUGUAGCAGUGAAAUGCGUAGAUAUGCGGAGGAACACCGAUGGCGAAGGCAAUCCCCUGGGCCUGCACUGACGCUCAUGCACGAAAGCGUGGGGAGCAAACAGGAUUAGAUAGCCCUGGUAGUCCACGCCCUAAACGAUGUCAACUGGUUGUUGGGAAGGUUCCUUCUCAGUAACGUAGCUAACGCGUGAAGUUGACCGCCUGGGGAGUACGGCCGCAAGGUUGAAACUCAAAGGAAUUGACGAGGUCAUAGCAUGUUUCCU
This 587-nucleotide ribosomal RNA is filed under the name uncultured bacterium. RNAcentral describes it as "partial 16S ribosomal RNA". It matches the Rfam family "Bacterial small subunit ribosomal RNA", at positions 355 to 935 of the family's 1533-position model. The record is from RNAcentral.